UUAUGGCCGCUGGGGAGUUGGGAGAGCCAGGCUGGGGCUCCGGCAGGCCCAGGCAAAUUUCCCUUUCUAGGCUCUUUAUUAAAAAAUUUAAAAGGAGGAGUUGAGGCGCCUUGAAUUUUCCUUCGCGAGUUUGGAGGCUAGCCGAUUUUUCAUGAAGCAAGCAAAGACCGCGGUCCCGGAUCCUGCAACAUCUACCUCAUUCUCUCCAGGCCUCUCCACUUGCCCGAGCUCUCAGCCACCAGGAGACAGACAGAAGGGGCUUCUGGGCUGCGUUGGGAGCGGGCACUGUCCCCUACCCACUCCUGCUCGGUUUCCCAAAGUCCAGCGACCUCCGACCCUCCUUGGGGGGAAAAAUACCAGUACCCAGACACCUCCGCACCCUGUUAUAUGACUGGGCUUGCUUCAGGAAUAUCUUACAAAGAAGAAGAAGAAGAAGAAAGAACGGCUUGGAGUCAUGUUUACAUCUAGUUCUACUGAUCCGUUCACAUCUGGAGAGUUUAUUUAUAACUCCCUCUAUAACUCUCUGUUUGGAGGCACUGGUGGCUCUAUUGACAGACUGAUGUCUAGGAAAUAUUGCUCUAUGUCUAACCGUACCUAAAUGUGCUGUGGUUGUAUUUACAGAUUUAUGUUUGAGGGAAAUAUAAUUAUUUCCAUUGUAUUUGUGCAUAUACAGUAGUUAUAGGAGCAGAUUUAUAUAUGGGAAAAUAUAUGACUCUCUUACAGCCAUCCGGCUUUAUGUACAUUUGAUAUCCUGACAGAUUUAUAUCUCUGAACAGCUAUAUAGAUAAAAAUGUAUAUUGUUAGAAUUAUGUAUCAGGAGAUAUAUACUUAUUGAUUGUGAAAUAGAGUAGUUAGAGCAUUCACUUAGAGCCAUAUAUGGCUAUGGAGAUAUUUCUAUAUUAUUAUCACUAUAUAUAGGCAUAUCUAUUUAUAACUACAUAGUUAUAAAAAUAGACAUAAAUAAUUAUAGUCCUAUAUGUGCAUGCUGCAAUCUCUCUCUAGAGUUAUAGACACUUUCAAAUAUAACUCUAUAGAGAGAUCUGUAUGUAUAUAAGGUGUAAUUAUCUUGUGAUGUGUUUACGUUGGGACUUAGGCCCGUCUAUCUAGAACAGACAUAUUUAUAUGUAAGGGCUGGGAGAGACUUGUUCACAGAUAUCUGCAGAGGGCCAACUGGAAACACUGUAUCUGCCCUCUAGGAAACCAGCUAGGAGAGUUGUGUACUUAUGGAGGGAUGGAGUUACAAAAG
Molecule: long non-coding RNA, 1246 nt
Filed under: Pongo abelii (Sumatran orangutan)
Lineage: Eukaryota; Metazoa; Chordata; Mammalia; Primates; Hominidae
Description: lincRNA
Source: RNAcentral